This 86-nucleotide signal recognition particle RNA is filed under the name Enterobacter sp. Its description in RNAcentral is "partial signal recognition particle sRNA small type". It matches the Rfam family "Bacterial small signal recognition particle RNA", at positions 12 to 97 of the family's 97-position model. Rfam says of the family: The signal recognition particle (SRP) is a universally conserved ribonucleoprotein involved in the co-translational targeting of proteins to membranes. Archaeal SRP consists of a 7S RNA and homologues of the eukaryotic SRP19 and SRP54 proteins. Lineage: Bacteria; Pseudomonadati; Pseudomonadota; Gammaproteobacteria; Enterobacterales; Enterobacteriaceae. RNAcentral also lists the same sequence under 1 other name. The record is from RNAcentral.
CCGCAACGCUACUCUGUUCACCAGGUCAGGUCCGGAAGGAAGCAGCCAGGGCAGACGACGUGUGUGCCGGGAUGUAGCUGGCAGGG